Molecule: ribosomal RNA, 253 nt
Filed under: uncultured bacterium
Lineage: Bacteria
Description: partial 16S ribosomal RNA
Rfam family: Bacterial small subunit ribosomal RNA
Source: RNAcentral
GACAGAGGGUGCAAACGUUGUUCGGAAUUACUGGGCGUAAAGCGUGUGUAGGCGGUCUCAUAAGUCGGAUGUGAAAAUCCAGGGCUUAACCCUGGACCUGCAUUCGAUACGGGCAGACUAGAGUUCGGUAGGGGAGACUGGAAUUCCUGGUGUAGCGGUGAAAUGCGCAGAUAUCAGGAGGAACACCGGUGGCGAAGGCGGGUCUCUGGGCCGAUACUGACGCUGAGGAGCGAAAGCGUGGGGAGCGAACAGG